GCGCAGCAGGCGCGAAACCUCCGCAAUGCACGCAAGUGCGACGGGGGAACCCCAAGUGCCACUCUUAACGGGGUGGCUUUUCAGAAGUGUAAAAAGCUUCUGGAAUAAGGGCUGGGCAAGACCGGUGCCAGCCGCCGCGGUAACACCGGCAGCUCAAGUGGUAGCCGCUUUUAUUGGGCCUAAAGCGUCCGUAGCCGGUCUGAUAAGUCUCUGGUGAAAUCCCGCAGCUUAACUGUGGGAAUUGCUGGAGAUACUAUCAUGACUCGAGGUCGGGAGAGGCUGGAGGUACUCCCAGGGUAGGGGUGAAAUCCUGUAAUCCUGGGAGGACCACCUGUGGCGAAGGCGUCCAGCUGGAACGAACCUGACGGUGAGGGACGAAAGCCAGGGGCGCGAACCGGAUUAGAUACCCGGGUAGUCCUGGCCGUAAACGAUGUGGACUUGGUGUUGGGAUGGCUUCGAGCUGCCCCAGUGCCGAAGGGAAGCUGUUAAGUCCACCGNCUGGGAAGUACGGCCGC
RNAcentral lists this ribosomal RNA (515 nucleotides) under uncultured Methanobacteriales archaeon. RNAcentral describes it as "bacterial SSU rRNA". It matches the Rfam family "Archaeal small subunit ribosomal RNA", at positions 330 to 844 of the family's 1478-position model. The record is from RNAcentral. Lineage: Archaea; Methanobacteriati; Methanobacteriota; Methanobacteria; Methanobacteriales.